CGUCCCCAGGUCAGGCGGCAUUACCCGCUGAGUUUAAGCAUAUCAAUAAGCGGAGGAAAUGAAACUUACAAGGAUUCCCCUAAUAACGGCGAGCAAACUGGGAACAACCCAUCCUUAGAAUCGGGCAUCUCUGUCGUCCGAAUUGUAGUUUGGAGAAGCAUCCUCAACGGCGGAUCGGGCCCAAGUCCCCUCGAAGGGGGCGCCGAACAGGGUGAGAUCCCUGUCGUGCCCGGACCCUAUCGCACCACGAGGCUCUAUCUACGAGUUGGGUUGUUUUGGAAUGCAGCGUAAAUCGGGGGUGAAUUCCGUCCAAGGCUAAAUACUUGCGAGAGGACGAUAGCGAAAAACUACAGCAAGGGAAAGAUGAAAAGGAAUUCGAAAAGAGAGUCAAAGAGUGCUUGAAAUUAUCAGGAGGGAAGCGGAUGGGGGCCGGCGAUGCGCCACUAUCGGAUGUGGAACGGUGACGAGCCGGUCCAUUGAUCGACUCGGGGCGUGGACCAACGUGGAUUGAGGGGAGGACAAAGCUCGGGCUCUCGAUACAACCAUGGAACGCCGUCUCCCCGAUUGUGGAAGGCAGCGCGCGCCUCCGUCGUACUUUGGCAUCUGCACGCUCCGGACGCUGGCUUGUGGGCUCCCCAUUCUACCCAUCUUGAAUCACGGACCAAGGAAUCUGACAUGUGUGCGAUUCAAAGGUCGAGUAAACCCGUAAGGCGUAAGGAAGCUGAUUGGUGGUAUCCACCUGAGGGCUGCACCGCCGACCGACCCUGAUCUUCUGAGAAGGGUUCGACUGUGAGCAUACCUGUUGGGACCCAAAAGAUGGUGAACUAUGCCUGAGCGGGGUGAAGCCAGAGGAAACUCUAGAGGAGGCCCGCAGUGAUAGUGACGUGCAAAUCGAUCGUCUGACUUGGGUAUAGGGGCGAAAGACUAAUAGAACCGUCUAAUAGCUGGUUCCGUCCGAAGUUUCCCUGAGUAUAGCUGGAGCUCGCGUGCGAGUUCUAUCGUGUAAAGUCAAUGAUAAGAGGCCUCGGCGGUGCAACGCCCUCGACCUAUUCUCAAACUUCAAAUAGGUAGGACGAUGCGACUUCUUUGUUGAGCCGCGCCACGGAAUCAAGAGAUCCAAGUGCACCAUUUUUGGUAAGCCGAAGUGGCGAUGUAGGAUGAAUCGGAAGCCGGGUUACAGUGCGAAACUGCGCGCUAACCUAGAUCCCACAAAGGGUGUUGGUCAAUUAAGACAGCAGGACGGUGGUCAUGGAAGUCGAAAUCCGCUAAGGAGUGUGUUACAACUCGCCUGCCGAAUCAACUAGCCCCGAAAAUGGAUGGAGCUUAAGCGCGCAAUCUACACCCGGCCGUCAGGGCAAGUGCCAGGCCCCGAUGAGUAGGAGGGCGCGGCGGGUCGGCCGUCGUCAAGCGUGGCAUGCCAUCAUAGCCCUUGGAAAACAGAUACGGUUGGACGACGU
This is a non-coding RNA of Solanum lycopersicum (tomato), 1457 nucleotides long. NCBI's taxonomy places the organism in Eukaryota, Viridiplantae, Streptophyta, Magnoliopsida, Solanales, Solanaceae. The record is from Rfam.